AUUGAACGCUGGCGGCAUGCCUUACACAUGCAAGUCGAACGGCAGCACGGGUGCUUGCCCCUGGUGGCGAGUGGCGAACGGGUGAGUAAUACAUCGGAACAUGUCCUGUAGUGGGGGAUAGCCCGGCGAAAGCCGGAUUAAUACCGCAUACGAUCUACGGAUGAAAGCGGGGGACCUUCGGGCCUCGCGUUAUAGGGUUGGCCGAUGGCUGAUUAGCUAGUUGGUGGGGUAAAGGCCUACCAAGGCGACGAUCAGUAGCUGGUCUGAGAGGACGACCAGCCACACUGGGACUGAGACACGGCCCAGACUCCUACGGGAGGCAGCAGUGGGGAAUUUUGGACAAUGGGCGAAAGCCUGAUCCAGCAAUGCCGCGUGUGUGAAGAAGGCCUUCGGGUUGUAAAGCACUUUUGUCCGGAAAGAAAUCCUUGGCCCUAAUACGGUCGGGGGAUGACGGUACCGGAAGAAUAAGCACCGGCUAACUACGUG
RNAcentral lists this ribosomal RNA (486 nucleotides) under uncultured bacterium. RNAcentral describes it as "partial 16S ribosomal RNA". It matches the Rfam family "Bacterial small subunit ribosomal RNA", at positions 30 to 507 of the family's 1533-position model. The record is from RNAcentral.